AACCUAGCACACCUGCGGUGUGUACCUGCGGAAGGAUCAUUACUGAGUUAGGGUCUUUUUGGCCCGACCUCCAACCCUUUGUUUAUUAUACCAUGUUGCUUUGGCGGGCCUGCCUUUCGGGGCUGCCGGGGGCCUCGCCGCCCCUGACUCGUGCCUGCCAGGAGCCUUCAUAAAUUCAGUGUUCAACGGUGCUGUCUGAGUCCCAGUAUCAAAAUAUCAAAAACUUUCAGCAACGGAUCU
Molecule: unclassified non-coding RNA, 240 nt
Filed under: soil metagenome
Description: partial contains 5.8S ribosomal RNA, internal transcribed spacer 2, and large subunit ribosomal RNA
Source: RNAcentral